This 254-nucleotide ribosomal RNA is filed under the name uncultured bacterium. RNAcentral describes it as "partial 16S ribosomal RNA". It matches the Rfam family "Bacterial small subunit ribosomal RNA", at positions 524 to 776 of the family's 1533-position model. The record is from RNAcentral.
UACGAGUGGUCCAAGCGUUAUCCGGAAUUACUGGGCGUAAAGGGUGCGUAGGCGGUUUAGUUAGUCUGUUGUUAAAGCUCCCGGCUUAACCGGGAAAAGGCAAUGGAAACGGCUAAACUGAGAGGGUGUCAGAGGUAUAUGGAACUCAUGGUGUAGGGGUGAAAUCCGUUGAUAUCAUGGGGAACACCAAAUGCGAAGGCAAUAUACUGGGACACGCCUGACGCUGAGGCACGAAAGCGUGGGAAUCGAACGGG